ACAGGGAGGUAGUGACAAGAAAUAACAAUACAGGAUUUUUUGGUUUUGUAAUUGGAAUGAGUUAAGUAUAAACCCCUUUACAAGUAUCAAUUGGAGGGCAAGUCUGGUGCCAGCAGCCGCGGUAAUUCCAGCUCCAAUAGCGUAUAUUAAAGUUGUUGCAGUUAAAAAGCUCGUAGUUGGAUUUCUGUUAAUAAUUUAUAUAAAAUAUUUUGAUGAAUAUUUAUAUAAUAUUAACAUAAUUCAUAUUACUAUAUAUUUUAGUAUAUGAAAUUUUACUUUGAGAAAAUUAGAGUGCUUAAAGCAGGCAUAUGCCUUGAAUACUCCAGCAUGGAAUAAUAUUAAAGAUUUUUAUCUUUCUUAUUGGUUCUAAGAUAAGAAUAAUGAUUAAUAGGGACAGUUGGGGGCAUUUGUAUUUAACAGUCAGAGGUGAAAUUCUUAGAUUUGUUAAAGACAAACUAAUGCGAAAGCAUUUGCCAAGGAUGUUUUCAUUAAUCAAGAACGAAAGUUAGGGGAUCGAAGACGAUCAGAUACCGUCGUAGUCUUAACCAUAAACUAUGCCAACUAGAGAUUGGAGGUUGUUCCUUACUCCUU
This 591-nucleotide ribosomal RNA is filed under the name Cryptosporidium parvum. RNAcentral's name for it is "SSU rRNA". It matches the Rfam family "Eukaryotic small subunit ribosomal RNA", at positions 456 to 1080 of the family's 1831-position model. The record is from RNAcentral. Lineage: Eukaryota; Apicomplexa; Conoidasida; Eucoccidiorida; Cryptosporidiidae.